UGGCUAAAAAAUAACUUAUUUUGUAGCCACUUUGAAUUACCAUAAUUACUAUAUUAAUUUACAAGAUUAUAGUAACUCUUUACUAAGUGGUUUACUAUAACAUUACGAUAAAGAUCCCCAUGUGUUAUAGUAACUCAACUAUCGAAAAUAUGUACACAUAUUAUCGUAAAUUUGUAUAUAAAAUUAUCGUAAAUAGAGGUGGCUACACAGAAUAACAUAUUUUGUAGCUA
Sorghum bicolor (sorghum) is the source of this 230-nucleotide microRNA precursor. It matches the Rfam family "MIR6217 microRNA precursor family". Lineage: Eukaryota; Viridiplantae; Streptophyta; Magnoliopsida; Poales; Poaceae. The record is from Rfam.